UACGUAGGGAGCAAGCGUUGUCCGGAAUCAUUGGGCGUAAAGGGCGCGUAGGCGGCAGAUCAAGUCAGCUGUGAAAUCUCCGAGCUUAACUCGGAACUGUCAGCUGAUACUGUUUUGCUAGAGUGCGGAAGGGGCAAUCGGAAUUCUUGGUGUAGCGGUGAAAUGCGUAGAUAUCAAGAGGAACACCUGAGGUGAAGACGGGUUGCUGGGCCGACACUGACGCUGAGUGCGCGAAAGCCAGGGGAGCAAACGGG
RNAcentral lists this ribosomal RNA (254 nucleotides) under uncultured bacterium. RNAcentral describes it as "partial 16S ribosomal RNA". It matches the Rfam family "Bacterial small subunit ribosomal RNA", at positions 524 to 776 of the family's 1533-position model. The record is from RNAcentral.